RNAcentral lists this ribosomal RNA (587 nucleotides) under uncultured bacterium. RNAcentral's name for it is "partial 16S ribosomal RNA". It matches the Rfam family "Bacterial small subunit ribosomal RNA", at positions 355 to 1375 of the family's 1533-position model. The record is from RNAcentral.
UGGGGAAUCUUCCGCAAUGGACGAAAGUCUGACGGAGCAACGCCGCGUGAGUGAAGAAGGUUUUCGGAUCGUAAAACUCUGUCUUUUGGGGCGAACGUGAGUAUGGUGAACAAUCAUAGUCAGUGACGGUACCAAAGGAGGAAGCCACGGCUAACUACGUGCCAGCAGCCGCGGUAAUACGUAGGUGGCAAGCGUUGUCCGGAAUUAUUGGGCGUAAAGAGCGCGUAGGCGGGAUAGUCAGUCUGUUGUAAAGUGCGGGGCUCAACCCCGUGAUCGCAAUGGAAACAGCUAUUCUUGAGUGCAGGAGAGGAAAGUGGAAUUCCCAGUGUAGCGGUGAAAUGCGUAGAUAUUGGGAGGAACACCAGUGGCGAAGGCGACUUUCUGGACUGUGUCUGACGCUGAGGCGCGAAAGCCAGGGGAGCGAACGGGAUUAGAUACCCCGGCAGUCCUGGCCGUAAACGAUGGGUACUAGGUGUGGGAGGUAUCGACCCCUUCCGUGCCGGAGUUAACGCAAUAAGUACCCCGCCUGGGGAGUACGGUCGCAAGACUGAAACUUAAAUGAAUUGACGGGGUCAUAGCUGUUUCCU